CGUUACACAUGCAAGUCGCACGGCUGCGCGGGCUUCGGCCUGGCGGCGAGUGGCGAACGGGUGAGUAAUACAUCGGAACGUGCCCUGUCGUGGGGGAUAACUAGUCGAAAGAUUAGCUAAUACCGCAUACGACCUGAGGGUGAAAGCGGGGGACCGCAAGGCCUCGCGCGAUAGGAGCGGCCGAUGUCUGAUUAGCUAGUUGGUGGGGUAAAGGCCUACCAAGCCGACGAUCAGUAGCUGGUCCUGAGAGGACGAUCAGCCACACUGGGAACUGAGACACGGCCCAGACUCCUACGGGAGGCAGCAUGGGGAAUUUUGGACAAUGGGGGCACCCCUGCUCCAGCAAUGCCGCGUGUGUGAAGAAGGCCUUCGGGUUGUAAAGCACUUUUGUCCGGAAAGAAAUGGCCCUGGCUAAUACCCGGGGUCGAUGACGGUACCGGAAGAAUAAGCACCGGCUAACUACGUGCCAGCAGCCGCGGUAAUACGUAGGGUGCGAGCGUUAAUCGGAAUUACUGGGCGUAAAGCGUGCGCAGGCGGUUUGAUAAGACAGGCGUGAAAUCCCCGGGCUCAACCUGGGAAUGGCGCUUGUGACUGUCAGGCUAGAGUGCGUCAGAGGGGGGUAGAAUUCCACGUGUAGCAGUGAAAUGCGUAGAGAUGUGGAGGAAUACCGAUGGCGAAGGCAGCCCCCUGGGACGUGACUGACGCUCAUGCACGAAAGCGUGGGGAGCAAACAGGAUUAGAUACCCUGGUAGNNNNNNNNNNNNNNNNNNNNNNNNNNNNNNNNNNNNNNNCAGUAACGUAGCUAACGCGUGAAGUUGACCGCCUGGGGAGUACGGUCGCAAGAUUAAAACUCAAAGGAAUUGACGGGGACCCGCACAAGCGGUGGAUGAUGUGGAUUAAUUCGAUGCAACGCGAAAAACCUUACCUACCCUUGACAUGCCACUAACGAAGCAGAGAUGCAUUAGGUGCCCGAAAGGAAAAGUGGACACAGGUGCUGCAUGGCUGUCGUCAGCUCGUGUCGUGAGAUGUUGGGUUAAGUCCCGCAACGAGCGCAACCCUUUGUCUCUAGUUGCUACGCAAGAGCACUCUAAGAGAGACUGCCGGGUGACAAACCGGAGGAAGGUGGGGGAUGACGUCAAGUCCUCAUGGCCCUUAUGGGUAGGGCUUCACACGUCAUACAAUGGUGCGUACAGAGGGUUGCCAACCCGCGAGGGGGAGCUAAUCCCAGAAAACGCAUCGUAGUCCGGAUCGUAGUCUGCAACUCGACUACGUGA
This 1274-nucleotide ribosomal RNA is filed under the name Ralstonia sp. MAO 4. RNAcentral describes it as "partial 16S ribosomal RNA". It matches the Rfam family "Bacterial small subunit ribosomal RNA", at positions 47 to 1323 of the family's 1533-position model. Lineage: Bacteria; Pseudomonadati; Pseudomonadota; Betaproteobacteria; Burkholderiales; Burkholderiaceae. The record is from RNAcentral.